GAUGAACGCUGGCGGCGUGCCUAAUACAUGCAAGUCGAGCGAACAGACGAGGAGCUUGCUCCUCUGACGUUAGCGGCGGACGGGUGAGUAACACGUGGAUAACCUACCUAUAAGACUGGGAUAACUUCGGGAAACCGGAGCUAAUACCGGAUAAUAUAUUGAACCGCAUGGUUCAAUAGUGAAAGACGGUUUUGCUGUCACUUAUAGAUGGAUCCGCGCCGCAUUAGCUAGUUGGUAAGGUAACGGCUUACCAAGGCAACGAUGCGUAGCCGACCUGAGAGGGUGAUGGGCCACACUGGAACUGAGACACGGCGCAGACGCCUACGGGAGGCAGCAGUAGGGAAUCUUCCGCAAUGGGCGAAAGCCUGACGGAGCAACGCCGCGUGAGUGAUGAAGGUCUUCGGAUCGUAAAACUCUGUUAUUAGGGAAGAACAAAUGUGUAAGUAACUAUGCACGUCUUGACGGUACCUAAUCAGAAAGCCACGGCUAACUACGUG
RNAcentral lists this ribosomal RNA (497 nucleotides) under uncultured bacterium. RNAcentral's name for it is "partial 16S ribosomal RNA". It matches the Rfam family "Bacterial small subunit ribosomal RNA", at positions 28 to 507 of the family's 1533-position model. The record is from RNAcentral.